Protobothrops mucrosquamatus (brown spotted pit viper) is the source of this 1150-nucleotide long non-coding RNA. RefSeq lists it as uncharacterized. The transcript is spliced from 3 exons. The record is from RefSeq and is a predicted model, not a curated record. NCBI's taxonomy places the organism in Eukaryota, Metazoa, Chordata, Lepidosauria, Squamata, Viperidae.
GGGGCUUUAAUCUUCCACGAGGUCAAGCGCUCUUAGAGAAAUGGAACCUAAUUCCAGAUGGAAUAGAUAUUCUUAUUACACACGGACCGCCUCUUGGUUUUCUAGAUUGGGUUCCUAAGAAAAUGCAAAGGGUGGGCUGUGUGGAGCUGCUGAAUACAAUCCAGAGACGAAUACAACCACGACUUCAUGUUUUUGGACAUAUUCAUGAAGGUUACGGUGUUAUGGCUGAUGGAACAACUACCUAUGUGAAUGCUUCUGUGUGUACCAUGAAUUACCAGCCAUUGAAUCCACCUAUAGUAAUUGAUUUACCUACUCCAAGAAACACAUAAUUGUGGCAGAAUGAAAAUACGUAAUUUAUGCCAAUGUAAGAGCCAAGUAACCAUGAAAUUGUGGCAUUAUUUUUAUUGUUCUUUAUAGACAACGUGGAAAGAUAGAAAUGGACAAAGGCAUUUGGUAUCACAACUUUUUGAAAAUGUAUUCUUGGAUUUAGCAUUUCAUUGUUUUAAAAAAAUUGUUAAUAUGAAAAAGGAGACAACUUCUGCAUUAUAGACAUUGGUUCAUUUUGUAUAUUCCAUAUGCUGUAUUGAAUUUACGAAAAGACACGUCUCUUCAGCAACAUGAUGUGUUACGAAUGCUUGCAGCUUUAUAUGUGUGUUCAGUAACAGCCUUCUUCAUUUAUAUCUGUACAGAGGAAUAAUUACAUUGAGAAUCAAAAUUUGUAAUUGUGUGAAAUACACUUUCUUUAAACAGUAUCUCCCUGUAAUCAUCAAAAGAAUAAUAAUCUUAUUCUACAUUAUUUGGAAAUCUAUACACAUCUUUCAAUUUUACAGUGUGGAAGAAAACUUGUUUGCAACUGGGAGUGAAUAUGAAAAGAAAAAUGUUAUAAUAUGAAUUACUGAAUUGCUGUGCACAGCAGAAACAUUUAAAAAAUGAAAUGGUUUAAAAUGAAAACUCAGGAAUUAGUUUUUCCUCCCGAUAAGUAAGAUAUUCUGCUACUUUUAAAUCUUAUCUACUAACUUUUAGGUUGCAUAGCCUUAGGGCUGAUAGCAGUGGCCUCAGUUGGGUUUUUCUUGAGAAAUGAUGCAGGAAGCAUCAGAUAGAACCUACAAUUACCGAAAGUCUAUUAAACAGAUUAUCCAGGCUCUGUUAU